Molecule: long non-coding RNA, 996 nt
Organism: Portunus trituberculatus (swimming crab)
Lineage: Eukaryota; Metazoa; Arthropoda; Malacostraca; Decapoda; Portunidae
Exons: 3
Source: RefSeq, a predicted model, not a curated record
UGAUUUCUCUUGUAGGCGCUGUCCAGGUAAGACGUGUGUCCGCCAAGAAGUGUGUCUGCCCACAGUAUUGGCCACGAGUUUAACUUGUAAGCAGUGUAUACAACAGUUAAGAAGUUCGGGUUAUGCCGGCCACCCCUUAAACAUAGGCAAACAAGUCCCUGGUACCAGUCAGGAGAGGUGAAGCACGUCCCGCCUCAAGUCUGGCACCGGCGUCCCUAAAUCGGCGCACUAUCAACUUGGAAGAGCCACUUAAGUUUCAGCCAAGCUAACUCCUCGGCCAUAGCAGUCCACCUCAUCUGUAUCCAUGUGAUAAUAAUCCAUCUCCAGGUCUUCAGAAGAGGGUGCAAACCGCGGAGGCGUGCGAUUCGGUACAGGUCCUGCCACUACUGAAGGGAGAACCAAACCAGCGUAUCAUAACCCCUAACCUGAGGCAGGAAACUGCCUCGCACCAGCUCUGCUUUAACACGUGGUGCCAUCUAGGGAGGGAGGACACACUACCUUGCCCCACCUUCCACGUGGAAUUGGACCAUGCCUCGCACCACCUCUGCCUCAACACGUAACGCUAUCCUGGGAGGAAGGGGACACUGCCUCGUUCCACCUUUCACGGAGGAAUUUCACCCGCCUCGCACCAGCUCUAUUGACACGUGGGGCUCCAUCUAGGGAGGGAGGGAGGGAGGGGAGGACAUCCUGUCUCGCAUCAGCGCUGCCCUGCCGUGUGGUGCCAUCCAGGGAGGGAGGACUCGCUGCCUCGCUGCACCUUCCACGGAUGUAUUGGACCGUGCCUCGCUUCAUCUAACCUAACUAAUACAUGUUGGCUAUAACUCGUGGUGUUUAUUCCUUCCAUCUAAUGUUAGUGUUUAUUCCUUCCAUCUAGUGUUAGUGUUUAUUCCUUCCAUCUAAUGUUAGUGUUUAUUCCUUCCAUCUAAUGUUAGUGUUUAUUCCUUCCAUCUAAUGUUAGUGUUUAUUCCUUCCAUCUAAUGUUUGUUUGUGUUUAUU